This is a non-coding RNA of Heligmosomoides polygyrus, 71 nucleotides long. NCBI's taxonomy places the organism in Eukaryota, Metazoa, Nematoda, Chromadorea, Rhabditida, Heligmosomidae. The record is from Rfam.
GCGCCGGUGGUGUAAGGUGAACAUCGCUGACCGGAAAGCAGAAGAUACGGGUUCGAGUCCCGCCUGGCGCA